This 393-nucleotide ribosomal RNA is filed under the name Triticum aestivum (bread wheat). RNAcentral describes it as "partial small subunit ribosomal RNA". Lineage: Eukaryota; Viridiplantae; Streptophyta; Magnoliopsida; Poales; Poaceae. The record is from RNAcentral.
AUGGAUAUUGAAGGUCGCAACCCAAUGGCCUUGGUGACAGUCAGAUCUGGGGUGAUAAAUGAGACUCAACUGCUGGAGGGUUUUAAUUACAUGUUCAAUUGGAAUUGGCAGUGGAGAUAUAAGAAACAAGGAAGCAAUGCAUUUCUGAUGAGAUUUCCAAACAAAGGAAGAUUAAUGGAACUAAUCAACUAUGAUGAUUUCACUCUCUUUGGCACUAGAGCAGUGGUGAAUGUCAAGAAAUGGGCCUUUGACUCUCAGGCAGUAGGGAAAUUGCAUACAGCUUGGGUGACAUUUGGAAAAGUCCCUGAAUGCUUCAGACACUUCUUUGGGAUGUGUGAGGUGGCAGCAUCUUUAGUUCCAGUGUUGGAAAUUGACAUGGGCACCAAACUUUGA